ACAAACUUGGUCAUUUAGAGGAAGUAAAAGUCGUAACAAGGUCUCCGUUGGUGAACCAGCGGAGGGAUCAUUAAAGAGUUUUCUACAACUCCCAAACCCCUGUGAACAUACCUUUUGUUGCCUCGGCAGGCCUCGCCUACCUUGUAGUGCCCCUACGCUGUAGGGGCCUACCUGGGGAGUGCGGGGGGGCCCUGCCGGCGGCCCGCGAAACUCUGUUUAGCACUGAAUUCUGAACAUAUAACUAAAUAAGUUAAAACUUUCAACAACGGAUCUCUUGGUUCUGGCAUCGAUGAAGAACGCAGC
RNAcentral lists this unclassified non-coding RNA (303 nucleotides) under uncultured fungus. Its description in RNAcentral is "partial contains small subunit ribosomal RNA, internal transcribed spacer 1, and 5.8S ribosomal RNA". The stretch from base 1 to 73 matches the Rfam family "Eukaryotic small subunit ribosomal RNA", at positions 1759 to 1831 of the family's 1831-position model. Lineage: Eukaryota; Fungi. The record is from RNAcentral.